AACGAACGCUGGCGGCAUGCCUAAUACAUGCAAGUCGAACGAGAUCUUCGGAUCUAGUGGCGCACGGGUGCGUAACGCGUGGGAAUCUACCCUUGGGUUCGGAAUAACAGUUAGAAAUGACUGCUAAUACCAGAUAAUGACGUAAGUCCAAAGAUUUAUCGCCCAAGGAUGAGCCCGCGUAAGAUUAGCUAGUUGGUGAGGUAAAGGCUCACCAAGGCUACGAUCUUUAGCUGGUCUGAGAGGAUGAUCAGCCACACUGGGACUGAGACACGGCCCAGACUCCUACGGGAGGCAGCAGUAGGGAAUAUUGGACAAUGGGGGAAACCCUGAUCCAGCAAUGCCGCGUGAGUGAUGAAGGCCUUAGGGUUGUAAAGCUCUUUUACCCGAGAUGAUAAUGACAGUAUCGGGAGAAUAAGCUCCGGCUAACUCCGUGCCAGCAGCCGCGGUAAAGUCAGUG
Molecule: ribosomal RNA, 457 nt
Filed under: uncultured bacterium
Lineage: Bacteria
Description: bacterial SSU rRNA
Rfam family: Bacterial small subunit ribosomal RNA
Source: RNAcentral